RNAcentral lists this ribosomal RNA (497 nucleotides) under uncultured bacterium. Its description in RNAcentral is "partial 16S ribosomal RNA". It matches the Rfam family "Bacterial small subunit ribosomal RNA", at positions 28 to 507 of the family's 1533-position model. The record is from RNAcentral.
GAUGAACGCUGGCGGCGUGCCUAAUACAUGCAAGUCGAGCGAACAGACGAGGAGCUUGCUCCUCUGACGUUAGCGGCGGACGGGUGAGUAACACGUGGAUAACCUACCUAUAAGACUGGGAUAACUUCGGGAAACCGGGGCUAAUACCGGAUAAUAUAUUGAACCGCAUGGUUCAAUAGUGAAAGACGGUUUCGCUGUCACUUAUAGAUGGUUCCGCGCCGCAUUAGCUAGUUGGUAAGGUAACGGCUUACCAAGGCAACGAUGCGUAGCCGACCUGAGAGGGUGAUCGGCCACACUGGAACUGAGACACGGUCCAGACUCCUACGGGAGGCAGCAGUAGGGAAUCUUCCGAAAAGGGCGAAAGCCUGACGGAGCAACGCCGCGGGAGUGAUGAAGGUCUUCGGAUCGUAAAACUCUGUUAUUAGGGAAGAACAAAUGUGUAAGUAACUAUGCACGUCUUGACGGUACCUAAUCAGAAAGCCACGGCUAACUACGUG